RNAcentral lists this ribosomal RNA (421 nucleotides) under uncultured bacterium. RNAcentral's name for it is "bacterial SSU rRNA". It matches the Rfam family "Bacterial small subunit ribosomal RNA", at positions 355 to 776 of the family's 1533-position model. The record is from RNAcentral.
UGAGGAAUAUUGCGCAAUGGAUGAAAGUCUGACGCAGCGACGCCGCGUGGAGGAUGAAGGCCCUUUGGGUCGUAAACUCCUGUAGAGUGGGAAGAAUAUCCCUUUUGAAGGGUUUGACGGUACCACUAAAGUAAGGAUCGGCUAACUACGUGCCAGCAGCCGCGGUAAUACGUAGGAUCCGAGCGUUGUCCGGAAUUACUGGGUGUAAAGGGAGCGCAGGCGGGUCUAUAAGUCGACGGUGAAAUCUUCCAGCUCAACUGGAAAACUGCCGCCGAUACUGUAGAUCUUGAAUAUGUCAGAGGGAAACGGAAUUCAUGGUGUAGCGGUGAAAUGCGUAGAUAUCAUGAAGAACACCAGUCGCGAAGGCGGUUUCCUGGGACAUUAUUGACGCUCAUGCUCGAAAGUGUGGGGAGCAAACAGG